CGAGCGACAAAUGAAAAAAUAAUCGUGUUCAAUUUAGGGGAAUUAAGAGCGAUCAAUUGAAGUGAAUUGCGGGAUGAGGGCACUGUUCACUCACUCACUCAUGGGAAGAGAUUUGGAGGGAUGGAAGUGGCAUUCCCUGAAAUGCCCUAUUCUGAAAAUAAAUUCCCAGCUGAAGAAGGUGAGGUUCGUCGAAGAUGUGGAGGUCAUCGAUGAAGAGAAGCCGAGGUCGACAACACGAUGAAGAGGCCUCCGUAUUUGGUUACAGCAACGGCGUAUUCUGUAACGCCCCGGCAACUUACAGGGACUGUUGAUUGCC
Molecule: long non-coding RNA, 316 nt
Filed under: Vigna radiata
Lineage: Eukaryota; Viridiplantae; Streptophyta; Magnoliopsida; Fabales; Fabaceae
Description: long non-coding RNA (VRAD_LNC000507)
Source: RNAcentral